Molecule: long non-coding RNA, 3516 nt
Organism: Corvus hawaiiensis (hawaiian crow)
Lineage: Eukaryota; Metazoa; Chordata; Aves; Passeriformes; Corvidae
Exons: 3
Source: RefSeq, a predicted model, not a curated record
UGGUAGGAGAGGGAUGGUUGUAACCUGUCUUCUAUCAGAGGAUAUUUUCCUCCAAAUUUGUCUAAACUGGCACACAGGUCAUAUCCAGCUAAACUGCCGUGUUAUCUGGCAAAAGAGAGCCUGCAGCCCCUUGUUUUCCUUCACAUCCAGGUGGACCCUCCAACCUAAAUGGGCAAUCUAUCAGUCACCUGUGCUACCUAACCAACUAACUCUCCUGCAGGAGACAACUAAUUUUAGAUACAAAGGAGCAGCAUGUAUGCUCUUUUCCUUACUGUAUUUGGCAUCUUGCCAUGUCUUCUUUGUUGAGGAAUACAUUUAGUGCAAGUAGCUUGGUUUGCAAGCUGAAGCGAGAGCUGCAGAGGGAACUCUGGGUGUCCGGAGCCCCAGGCAAGAGGAGGUGAACUGCCGACACUUUGCAUACCAAAGGGCACGGGGACUUGUGCCCCAGACAGAGUGUGCUCGGCAGAGGUCAGUGUCCUGUCUGGGUACAAGGUCAGCAUUGGUGUACUUCAGACAGACUGAAAGCAGCUCUAACUUCAUCCUGCAUGCUGAGACACAGUUGGACUGUGGAAGUGUGCUGGACUUUCUGUCCUUCCACUGUAAAAUUAUUGAAGAAGACAACAAGUUGAACAUCAGCCAAGGAUGCACCCUUGCAGCAAAGCAGGCCAACAGCCUCCUGAGGUGCAGUAGGCGAAGCAUUGCCAGCAGGUUGAGGUAGGCAGUCCUUCUCCUCUACUCAGCAGUGGCGAGAUACAUCUGGAGUCCUAAAUUUCCAGCUGAAGAAAGGCAUGAUCAUACUGGACCGACUUCAGCCACAGACCACAAAGAUGAUUAAUAACAUGAAGCAUCUGUCAUGAGUGGUUUGGAGAGCUGGGGCAGUUCAGCCUGGAGAAGAGAUGCCUCAUGGGGCUUAUGCAUUUAAAAAUAUCUUUGAGGACAUUAAAUAAAGUGGAACCAGUCUCUCCUUUGUGGUAUCCAAUGAUCCAAGGAUAAGAGGCAGUGGGCACAGUUUUAAUUCCACCUAAACCUGAGACCAAAACUUGGGGGGGGUGGGUUCAGUGAGUAUGGCCAGAAUCUUGUAGAGGUUGCCCAAAGUGGUGGUGGAAUCUACAUCCUUGGAGAUACUUAAAACCUUGACUGUACACCAUCUGCAGCAACCCACUCUAGCUAAUUCUUCUCUGAUCAGCAGUGUUGGCCUAGUCCAGAUGUCACUGCUACCUGACUGCCUCAGUGAUUCUGUCUGUUCGUGGGUGAGUCACAGACUAAAAGGAUGAAAAUAAGUUUCAGUGACUAAAAUAGUUUUGAUGACAUCAGCUGUCCUGCUGUGCCAGAUGUGACCCCCAAGAUGACAUUACAUGUUAAAAAUACCUUCAGGUCUCAACAAUUUUUUUUUGUCUUUUAUGUUAGUAUCCUUUCAAAUUAUUUUAUUUCAAUUUUUAAAAUCUUCUUUAUCAUAGAAAGCUUUGCUGGGAAAUUAUAAUAUUCAGUCUCAAGAGGAGAAAAAGUAUAUUUUUCUGCCUUAAAAACAUCUUUGCAAAGAAGGUAUUUCCUGAGAAAAACUAUGUUACAGCAAGUCAUGAUGAUAAGACAAUCUUUUUACCUGUAAGAGAACAAUAGAUUGUUUAGUCCAUAGUUUCUUUCAUGCAUGAUAUGAGCAUUUUUGUUACAUUUCAUGCACUCCUUGGGUCAAGUUACUAACAUAUGUAUAGUUUAAAUUAUUCAUCUUGGACAACCACACGGGUUUAGCAAGCAGAUUUACAAAAGUGCUCUUCAGAACAAAAAAAAAUAUUGCAGAAGACAUAAAUGCUGUUGUAUUAUCUCAGUAAAUAUUAAAGAUAUUUUAAAGGAAGAAAGGAAGAAAGGAUGAUCAAAUACUUUCUGUUGGCUGCAUGUAUUCCUUUGGUGAAGAAGCUGGUACUAGGUCUCAGAGGUGUGGCAAUCUUCCUUUAAAAUAUUGAAUAUUCAGAAGCAAUAUAUCAAGUUACAUUUUAUUAGUUUAAGUUCUUCUUAGUGCAUAUAGACUCUGCCUUCAUCUAUUGACAUAAGAAAAAAGAUUAUGUCAACAACACUCCUCAGAGGUGCCUAUCUAUCCAUUUUCUGCUUUGUUCCUUGUGCUCAGGAUUGGCAGUUCAAUUGUUCUGGUUUGUGACAAGAGUCAGCUCCCUGAGCUCCAAUUUCCAUUAGAGGUUACUUACAAAAAAUGUAAGCUCCCUUUAACCUUAAUAAUAGAGGAAAUUAAACUGCAAAUAGCAAGAGUGAAGCACAUCCAUGACUGAAUGCUUGGAUGGAAGGAUGAAAUAUGCAGAAGCAGAUCUUUCACAUGAUUCUGUAAUAUGAUUCAGAACAUACACCAUAGUAAAUAUUAUUAUUGGUUGAAGUGAAAGUAUAUAAAUUUCAGAACUGUUGUAUGAGUUUUCCUCAUAUUUUUAAGGAGAUACUAAAGAACAGGGCAUGAACAUAUUACAUGAGCAACAAUUUCAAUAAGGUGAUUUUUAUGAUACUAUAGUGGUGGAAUUUGUUUCAAAACUGAUUCCUUGCCUAAGAAUUGAUUUCCACAAGAUCAUUGAUCAUCUUGAAGAAUCUGAUUUUUGCAUAGAUGUUUAUGGCUUCACUUUCUACCUCCUCUGUUUUUCUUUGUCACAGGCUUACAAAACAAAGUACUAUAACUGUCUUUGUCUGAAAAUUAAAAAUCAAAAUAUUCAGCCUGUACCUAAAACCAGAUAUCAAUUAUUUAUCUUGCUAAGAGGAAAACACAGAUCAGUUCUGUAAAACUCUUCUAAACAAUUCAAAAAAUUGUUAUCAAUGGUUUUUCAAGAUGUUGUUAUGGAUCUUCACAUCACUCAAUUUUGCUUCCUGUUUAUUGAUGAAAGGUGAGGGGAAAGGAUUGAUGGCUCUGCUCACACUGAUAUUGUUCCAGCCCCAAGGGUUGUCCCUGGUCCUCGGUGCAUGCGAUGGAGCUGCACAAGACAAGGAGAUUCUGCUGCCCAUUGCUCCAGUGCUGUUCUCAGAGCACAAUUAAUUUCAGAAGGGAUCCAUAGGUAUCAAUCACACCAUCUGCAGUAAGGACAGUUACAGCCAGCAAGGAGUAUUGCACAGCAGGAUUACAAACCUGUAUAAGCCUGUACAAUGCUUCUGUUCUGGACUAUCUUCGGAGAGAACCCCAUCUCUUUUCACUUAUCCCAUGGUAACCUAGAAAAAAGAGGUAAAUUUAGUAUCUAAAUACAUGUCAUAGUCUGAGUCUGCUUGAAUAAUAUGACAUAAGGAAUAAAGAGUAUUAAGCUGGUAACUCCACUGUCAUUUGAAUAGUUUGCUUUUACUUGUUUUCCUAAUAAACUCUGGUCUGCCCUGAAGUGCACUUUUUUGUCUUGCCAUAGUAUUUGAAUGAGUCAUUUCCAUAAUUAAUUCUGUCUAUUAUUUUUCUUCUCAGAAUUAUCUUCUCUCCUUCUGAGUCCAUUCCCUUUUUCAGGCUCUCAGAAUCUCUUCCCAUAUCAAAGCUGUGUGGGUCUUAUAUUUGCA